Roridomyces roridus is the source of this 91-nucleotide non-coding RNA. Lineage: Eukaryota; Fungi; Basidiomycota; Agaricomycetes; Agaricales; Mycenaceae. The record is from the annotation of a GenBank genome assembly.
GCAUUAAUGGGGUAGUGGUAACCUGGGUCGUUGCCAUGUGGCGUCGUAUACAGAUGUCGACCCGCCGGGGGUUCGAUUCCCCCUUAAUGCA